UUCUGGUUCGAGUCCAGGAUGGCCCACCUGAAAGAGAAAAAAUGGGGGUAUAGCUCAGUUGGUAGAGCGCUGCCUUUGCACGGCAGAAGCCAGCGGUUCGAGUCCGCUUACCUCCAGUGGGGCGAGAAAAGCAAGCAAAAAGAGUCCAGCAACUCAAAUGGGACAAAAACCAGGGAGACUGCUGGAGGAAAAACCAGCCAGAACCUUGAAAACUGCA
This 217-nucleotide transfer RNA is filed under the name uncultured Lyngbya sp. Its description in RNAcentral is "partial 16S-23S ribosomal RNA intergenic spacer". The stretch from base 44 to 116 matches the Rfam family "tRNA". Lineage: Bacteria; Bacillati; Cyanobacteriota; Cyanophyceae; Oscillatoriales; Microcoleaceae. The record is from RNAcentral.